GAUGAAGAACGCAGCGAAAUGCGAUAAGUAAUGUGAAUUGCAGGAUUCAGUGAAUCAUCGAAUCUUUGAACGCACAUUGCGCCCGCCAGUAUUCUGGCGGGCAUGCCUGUUCGAGCGUCAUUUCAACCAUCAAGCCCUGCUUGCGUUGGGGUCCUGCGGCUGCCCGCAGGCCCUGAAAACCAGUGGCGGGCUCGCUAGUCACACCGAGCGCAGUAAUACAUCUCGCUUUGGGCGUGCGGCGGGUUCUUGCCGUUAAACACCCCCUUUUUACCAAGGUUGACCUCGGAUCAGGUAGGAAUACCCGCUGAACUUAAGCAUAUCAAUAAGCGGAGGA
This 334-nucleotide unclassified non-coding RNA is filed under the name soil metagenome. RNAcentral's name for it is "partial contains 5.8S ribosomal RNA, internal transcribed spacer 2, and large subunit ribosomal RNA". The stretch from base 1 to 120 matches the Rfam family "5.8S ribosomal RNA", at positions 35 to 154 of the family's 154-position model. The record is from RNAcentral.